UCGACAGAGGACGAUGCUUUAAUUAAUCUCAUACAAAAUAACAAAUUUAUUUUCGAUAGUAGCCAUAAAUAUCACAAGGAUAAUACUAUUAGAGAUUCUAUUUGGAAAAAUAUAUUUGAUUAAGUAGGAAGAUCAAGCGAUGGCUGUAAAAAACGCUGGAAGAAUAUUCGGGACACGCACUUGAAACAGAAAAAGAAACUUCCGACAGGAUCAGCUGCUCCAUAUAAAAAAAAUUGAUGUAUAAUAAAUUUAUCAUUUUUGGACACCAUUGAAUACGAAAGAAGAUAAAAUGUGUUUAAUGACCUGGUGUUACGACUAGGGACAUGGAAAAAAAAAAUCGGACAAAAAGGUAGGACAGUCAAAACUUCCUAAGAAGAGCUUAUACGCAAAAUACACAUCUAAUCGUAUACGGCGUUGUUCAAGCGUUUCAAUAGAUAGCAUCGUUAAAAGUGGGGUAUACGAAGAGUGUGGUUCUCUAGGUAUGGAACAUUGAAAUGAAACGAAACGUAAGAACUUUUGUUGUAUGCCCUCAAUUUUAUACUUAUGAAAGGAUGUAUAAGAAGACCAUAUUAUUGAUCCAUAU
Sipha flava (yellow sugarcane aphid) is the source of this 583-nucleotide long non-coding RNA. RefSeq lists it as uncharacterized. The transcript has 3 exons. Lineage: Eukaryota; Metazoa; Arthropoda; Insecta; Hemiptera; Aphididae. The record is from RefSeq and is a predicted model, not a curated record.